GAUGAACGCUAGCGGCAGGCCUAAUACAUGCAAGUCGAGGGAGAACGUUGGAUUCGUCUGACAUGAAACUGGCGCACGGGUGCGUAACACGUAUUCAACCUUCCUUUAACUGGGGUAUAGCUCAGAGAAACCUGAAUUAAUCCCCCAUAAGACUACGACAUGGCAUCAUGAUGUACUUAAAGCCCCGGCGGGUCAGGAUUGGCAUGCGGUACAUUAGCUAGUUGGUGAGGUAAUGGCUCACCAAGGCAACGAUGUAUAGGGGGUCUGAGAGGAUGAUCCCCCACACUGGUACUGAGACACGGACCAGACUCCUACGGGAGGCAGCAGUAGGGAAUAUUGGUCAAUGGACGCAAGUCUGAACCAGCCAUGCCGCGUGAAGGAUGAAGGCCCUAUGGGUCGUAAACUUCUUUUAUUAGGGAAGAAAAAACGGGAUGCGUCCUGUACUGACGGUACUUAAUGAAUAAGGAUCGGCUAACUUCGUGCCAGCAGCCGCAGUAA
This 498-nucleotide ribosomal RNA is filed under the name uncultured bacterium. Its description in RNAcentral is "partial 16S ribosomal RNA". It matches the Rfam family "Bacterial small subunit ribosomal RNA", at positions 28 to 523 of the family's 1533-position model. The record is from RNAcentral.